Cornus florida is the source of this 302-nucleotide long non-coding RNA. RefSeq lists it as uncharacterized. The transcript has 2 exons. The record is from RefSeq and is a predicted model, not a curated record. Lineage: Eukaryota; Viridiplantae; Streptophyta; Magnoliopsida; Cornales; Cornaceae.
AGUGAAAAAUAUAGAGAAUUGGGAAUUUAGAGAAGUGCACAGAGGGCUGAGAAAGCCAAGACGGACUUAAGGCUGGAUCACAAAUAUUUUGUGAUUAAUUCUUUUGCAGUGGACUUCCCCUGUUUUGCCCCCUUCCAAUUUUAGGUAUCAAGGAUGAGCUUGAAUUGUUAGUUUCGGGCUUAGGUGGAAAAGUUGGUGUUGAAGAAUUAUUUUAUUUUAUUUAGAUUUUUUUAUUUUUUUUUAUUUUUUUUUUUUGAGGAAAUUGAUUUUGUAUCAAUAAAGAGAUUUUGUGUAUUUCUUUU